RNAcentral lists this ribosomal RNA (397 nucleotides) under uncultured bacterium. RNAcentral describes it as "bacterial SSU rRNA". It matches the Rfam family "Bacterial small subunit ribosomal RNA", at positions 28 to 430 of the family's 1533-position model. The record is from RNAcentral.
GACGAACGCUGGCGGCGUGCUUAACACAUGCAAGUCGAGCGGUAAGGCCCUUUCGGGGGUACACGAGCGGCGAACGGGUGAGUAACACGUGGGUGACCUGCCCUUAGCUCUGGGAUAAGCCUGGGAAACUGGGUCUAAUACCGGAUAUGACUCCAUGACGCAUGUUGUGGGGUGGAAAGCCUUGUGCGGCUGAGGAUGGGCCCGCGGCCUAUCAGCUUGUUGGUGGGGUGAUGGCCUACCAAGGCGACGACGGGUAGCCGGCCUGAGAGGGCGACCGGCCACACUGGGACUGAGACACGGCCCAGACUCCUACGGGAGGCAGCAGUGGGGAAUCUUGCGCAAUGGGCGAAAGCCUGACGCAGCGACGCCGCGUGAGGGAUGACGGCCUGGUGUAACU